UCUUGACCUCAGAUCAGGCAAGGCUACCCGCUGAAUUUAAGCAUAUUAAUAAGCGGAGGAAGAGAAACUAACAAGGAUUCCCCCAGUAACGGCGAGUGAAGCGGGAAUAGCUCAAAUUUGAAAUCUCCGACGCUUGCGUCGGCGAGUUGUAGUUGCCAGAAGCACUUUCUAGGCGGAUCGACCGUGCCUAAGUUGCUUGGAACAGCACGUCGCAGAGGGUGACACCCCGUCUGUGCGCGUCGGCCGCUCACGAUGUUGUUUCGAGAGUCGUUGCUUGACGUGCCCCCACAACACAAACGACUUCGAAACCAUGGGGGGCGCGACGCGCCAGACGGGUGGUACUUGCACUGUGUCCAGCACUUAGCAGGUCGAAUCCCCCAAAGAGGUCUCUGG
This 393-nucleotide ribosomal RNA is filed under the name Siderastrea stellata. Its description in RNAcentral is "eukaryotic LSU rRNA". It matches the Rfam family "Eukaryotic large subunit ribosomal RNA", at positions 1 to 310 of the family's 3401-position model. The record is from RNAcentral. Lineage: Eukaryota; Metazoa; Cnidaria; Anthozoa; Scleractinia; Rhizangiidae.